Molecule: small RNA, 367 nt
Filed under: Lactococcus cremoris subsp. cremoris TIFN6
Lineage: Bacteria; Bacillati; Bacillota; Bacilli; Lactobacillales; Streptococcaceae
Description: Lactococcus lactis subsp. cremoris TIFN6 cspA thermoregulator
Rfam family: cspA thermoregulator
Source: Rfam by way of RNAcentral
UUCCAUAUUAACUAUGAUAACAUGAAAGUGUAAGUUUUUGUUUUACGAUUAGUUCUGUGCUUUUGGGUUCAUUCCUAUUCAAGAAAUUAGAUUUACAAAUUUAUAAAAUAAGGAAGUACCAAAAAUGGCACAAGGAACUGUUAAAUGGUUUAACGCAACUAAAGGCUUCGGCUUUAUCACUACUGAAGAAGGAAACGACGUUUUCGCACACUUCUCAGCUAUCCAAACUGAUGGAUUCAAAACACUUGACGAAGGUCAAAAAGUUACUUUUGACGUUGAAGAAGGCCCUCGUGGACCUCAAGCUGUUAACAUCCAAAAAUAAUUAAAGCUUUGAGGGGUCACUGACAAAUUUUGUCAGUGACUUUUU